This 69-nucleotide transfer RNA is filed under the name Marmota marmota marmota (Alpine marmot). It matches the Rfam family "tRNA". Rfam says of the family: Transfer RNA (tRNA) molecules are approximately 80 nucleotides in length. Their secondary structure includes four short double-helical elements and three loops (D, anti-codon, and T loops). The record is from Rfam by way of RNAcentral. RNAcentral also lists the same sequence under 1 other name. Lineage: Eukaryota; Metazoa; Chordata; Mammalia; Rodentia; Sciuridae.
GGAGUUGUGGCUCAUCGGUAGAGCACUCGCCUAGCAAAUGUGAGGCCCUGGGUUUGAUCCUCAGCACCA